CCCUGCCAUUUGUACACACCGCCCGUCGCUCCUACCGAUUGGAUGAUCCGGUGAAAUCUUCGGACCGUAGCAUUGUGUCUGGGUUUCCAGUCGCGACGCUGUGGGAAGUUGCUUAAACCUUAUCAUCU
Molecule: ribosomal RNA, 128 nt
Filed under: uncultured eukaryote
Lineage: Eukaryota
Description: partial small subunit ribosomal RNA
Rfam family: Eukaryotic small subunit ribosomal RNA
Source: RNAcentral